GACGAACGCUGGCGGCGUGCUUAACACAUGCAAGUCGAACGGAAAGGCCCUGCUUUUGUGGGGUGCUCGAGUGGCGAACGGGUGAGUAACACGUGAGUAACCUGCCCUUGACUUUGGGAUAACUUCAGGAAACUGGGGCUAAUACCGGAUAGGAGCUCCUGCUGCAUGGUGGGGGUUGGAAAGUUUCGGCGGUUGGGGAUGGACUUGCGGCUUAUCAGCUUGUUGGUGGGGUAGUGGCUUACCAAGGCUUUGACGGGUAGCCGGCCUGAGAGGGUGACCGGCCACAUUGGGACUGAGAUACGGCCCAGACUCCUACCGGAGGCAGCAGUGGGGAAUAUUGCACAAUGGGCGGAAGCCUGAUGCAGCAACGCCGCGUGCGGGAUGACGGCCUUCGGGUUGUAAACCGCUUUCGCCUGUGACGAAGCGUGAGUGACGGUAAUGGGUAAAGAAGCACCGGCUAACUACGUG
This 468-nucleotide ribosomal RNA is filed under the name uncultured bacterium. Its description in RNAcentral is "partial 16S ribosomal RNA". It matches the Rfam family "Bacterial small subunit ribosomal RNA", at positions 28 to 507 of the family's 1533-position model. The record is from RNAcentral.